GAAACCUUUUUCUACAAACACCUUGGAUGUUCUUUAAAUAAGAUGAAAAGGCUAUUA
This 57-nucleotide small RNA is filed under the name Arabidopsis thaliana (thale cress). Its description in RNAcentral is "ATSL139740". Lineage: Eukaryota; Viridiplantae; Streptophyta; Magnoliopsida; Brassicales; Brassicaceae. The record is from RNAcentral.